RNAcentral lists this ribosomal RNA (768 nucleotides) under Escherichia coli. Its description in RNAcentral is "partial 23S ribosomal RNA". It matches the Rfam family "Bacterial large subunit ribosomal RNA", at positions 419 to 1188 of the family's 2925-position model. The record is from RNAcentral. RNAcentral also lists the same sequence under 1 other name. Lineage: Bacteria; Pseudomonadati; Pseudomonadota; Gammaproteobacteria; Enterobacterales; Enterobacteriaceae.
GGGACACGUGGUAUCCUGUCUGAAUAUGGGGGGACCAUCCUCCAAGGCUAAAUACUCCUGACUGACCGAUAGUGAACCAGUACCGUGAGGGAAAGGCGAAAAGAACCCCGGCGAGGGGAGUGAAAAAGAACCUGAAACCGUGUACGUACAAGCAGUGGGAGCACGCUUAGGCGUGUGACUGCGUACCUUUUGUAUAAUGGGUCAGCGACUUAUAUUCUGUAGCAAGGUUAACCGAAUAGGGGAGCCGAAGGGAAACCGAGUCUUAACUGGGCGUUAAGUUGCAGGGUAUAGACCCGAAACCCGGUGAUCUAGCCAUGGGCAGGUUGAAGGUUGGGUAACACUAACUGGAGGACCGAACCGACUAAUGUUGAAAAAUUAGCGGAUGACUUGUGGCUGGGGGUGAAAGGCCAAUCAAACCGGGAGAUAGCUGGUUCUCCCCGAAAGCUAUUUAGGUAGCGCCUCGUGAAUUCAUCUCCGGGGGUAGAGCACUGUUUCGGCAAGGGGGUCAUCCCGACUUACCAACCCGAUGCAAACUGCGAAUACCGGAGAAUGUUAUCACGGGAGACACACGGCGGGUGCUAACGUCCGUCGUGAAGAGGGAAACAACCCAGACCGCCAGCUAAGGUCCCAAAGUCAUGGUUAAGUGGGAAACGAUGUGGGAAGGCCCAGACAGCCAGGAUGUUGGCUUAGAAGCAGCCAUCAUUUAAAGAAAGCGUAAUAGCUCACUGGUCGAGUCGGCCUGCGCGGAAGAUGUAACGGGGCUAAACC